GAUGAACGCUGGCGGCGUGCUUAAUACAUGCAAGUCGAGCGGACAGAUCAGGCGCUUGCUGCGUUGACGUGAGGGGAGGAGGGGUGAGUAACAUGUGUAUAACGUCCCUGUAUGACGGAUAAAACCCCGGGAAAGCGGCGCAAAUCGGAUAGAAGAUCUAGCAGCGCGUGGUGCUAAGGUGAGAGUCGGCGGUGGGAGAUGGUAUCGCGGCUUACGCGCUUGAUGGUGGAGUAGGGGAUGACAAGGGCUAUGACGGGUAGCCGGCCUUGGAGGGUGACCGGCGACAUUGGGACUGAGAGACGGCCCAGACUCCUACGGGACGCAGCAGUGGGGAAUAUUGCACAACGGGCGGAAGCCUGAUGCAGCAACGCCGCGUGCGUGAUGACGGCUUUCGGGUUGUAAACCGCUUUCGCCUGUGACGAAGCGUGAGUGACGGUAAUGGGUAAAGAAGCACCGGCUAACUACGUG
Molecule: ribosomal RNA, 468 nt
Filed under: uncultured bacterium
Lineage: Bacteria
Description: partial 16S ribosomal RNA
Rfam family: Bacterial small subunit ribosomal RNA
Source: RNAcentral